AGUGAACGCUGGCGGUAGGCCUAACACAUGCAAGUCGAACGGCAGCACAGUAAGAUCUUGCUCUUACUGUUGGCGAGUGGCGGACGGGUGAGGAAUACAUCGGAAUCUACUUUUUCGUGGGUGAUAACGUAGGGAAACUUACGCUAAUACCGCAUACUACCUACGGGUGAAAGCAGGGGAUCUUCGGACCUUUCGCGAUUGAAUGAGCCGAUGUCGGAUUAGCUAGUUGGCGGGGUAAAGGCCCACCAAGGCGACGAUCCGUAGCUGGUCUGAGAGGAUGAUCAGCCACACUGGAACUGAGACACGGUCCAGACUCCUACGGGAGGCAGCAGUGGGGAAUAUUGGACAAUGGGCGCAAGCCUGAUCCAGCCAUACCGCGUGGGUGAAGAAGGCCUUCGGGUUGUAAAGCCCUUUUGUUGGGAAAGAAAAGCAGCAGGUUAAUACCCCGCUGUUCUGACGGUACCCAAAGAAUAAGCACCGGCUAACUUCGUG
Molecule: ribosomal RNA, 492 nt
Filed under: uncultured bacterium
Lineage: Bacteria
Description: partial 16S ribosomal RNA
Rfam family: Bacterial small subunit ribosomal RNA
Source: RNAcentral